Molecule: RNase P RNA, 310 nt
Filed under: Flavobacterium sp. SaA2.13
Lineage: Bacteria; Pseudomonadati; Bacteroidota; Flavobacteriia; Flavobacteriales; Flavobacteriaceae
Description: RNase P RNA component class A
Rfam family: Bacterial RNase P class A
About the family: Ribonuclease P (RNase P) is a ubiquitous endoribonuclease, found in archaea, bacteria and eukarya as well as chloroplasts and mitochondria. Its best characterised activity is the generation of mature 5'-ends of tRNAs by cleaving the 5'-leader elements of precursor-tRNAs.
Source: RNAcentral
CUCGCAGGUCGCCUUAUCGCUCCGCUUUGCGGGGAGGAAAGUCCGGACACCAUAGGGCAGCAUAGCGGGUAACGCCCGUCACCACGUUUAGGCGUGGGAGGACAAGUGCAACAGAAAGGAUGUACAGGUAAUGCUGUAGUGAAAUCAGGUAAACUCUAUGUGGUGCAAUGCCAAGUAAACCGGUUGUUAAGGGCUGCCCGCCCAAUGCCGGAGGGUAGGCAGAUAGAGCGUAACAGUAAUGUUGCGCCCAGAUAAAUGAUAAGGGUUUCUUUUAGAAAUACAGAAUCCGGCUUACAGACCUGCUUUAUUU